AGAGUUUGAUCCUGGCUCAGGACGAACGCUGGCGGCGUGCUUAACACAUGCAAGUCGCACGGGCCCGCAAGGGUCAGUGGCGAACGGGUGCGUAACACGUGAGGAACCUGUCCAACGGUGGGGGAUAGCCGGUCCAACGACCGGGUAAUACCGCGUACGACCUUCGAGGGGCAUCCCUUGAAGGUGAAAGCAGCAAUGCACCGGUGGAGGGCCUCGCGGCCUAUCAGCUAGUUGGUGAGGUAAUGGCUCACCAAGGCUACGACGGGUAGCUGGUCCGAGAGGAUGACCAGCCACAUUGGGACUGAGGCACGGCCCAGACUCCUACGGGAGGCAGCAGUGGGGAAUAUUGCGCAAUGGGCGAAAGCCUGACGCAGCGACGCCGCGUGUGGGAUGACGGCCUUCGGGUUGUAAACCACUGUCGGGAGGGACGAAAUCAAUGACGGUACCUCCAAAGGAAGCACCGGCUAACUCUGUGCCAGCAGCCGCGGUAAU
RNAcentral lists this ribosomal RNA (492 nucleotides) under uncultured soil bacterium. RNAcentral describes it as "bacterial SSU rRNA". It matches the Rfam family "Bacterial small subunit ribosomal RNA", at positions 8 to 524 of the family's 1533-position model. The record is from RNAcentral.